CUGCAAGUCGAGCGGAGAUUUGAAAAGCUUGCUUUUCAAAUCUUAGCGGCGGACGGGUGAGUAACACGUGGGCAACCUGCCCUUGAGACGGGGAUAACUCCGGGAAACCGGAGCUAAUACCGGAUAACACAUAUCUUCGCAUGAUGAUAUGUUAGAAGGUGGCUUUUCGCUACCACUCAAGGAUGGGCCCGCGGCGCAUUAGCUAGUUGGUGAGGUAACGGCUCACCAAGGCGACGAUGCGUAGCCGACCUGAGAGGGUGAUCGGCCACACUGGGACUGAGACACGGCCCAGACUCCUACGGGAGGCAGCAGUAGGGAAUCUUCCGCAAUGGACGAAAGUCUGACGGAGCAACGCCGCGUGAGUGAUGAAGGUUUUCGGAUCGUAAAGCUCUGUUGUUAGGGAAGAACAAGUACCUGUUGAAUAAGCAGGUACCUUGACGGUACCUAACCAGAAAGCCACGGCUAACUACGUGCCAGCAGCCGCGGUAAUACGUAGGUGGCAAGCGUUGUCCGGAAUUAUUGGGCGUAAAGCGCGCGCAGGCGGUUCCUUAAGUCUGAUGUGAAAGCCCACGGCUCAACCGUGGAGGGUCAUUGGAAACUGGGGAACUUGAGUGCAGAAGAGGAGAGCGGAAUUCCACGUGUAGCGGUGAAAUGCGUAGAGAUGUGGAGGAACACCAGUGGCGAAGGCGGCUCUCUGGUCUGUAACUGACGCUGAGGCGCGAAAGCGUGGGGAGCGAACAGGAUUAGAUACCCUGGUAGUCCACGCCGUAAACGAUGAGUGCUAAGUGUUAGAGGGUUUCCGCCCUUUAGUGCUGCAGCAAACGCAUUAAGCACUCCGCCUGGGGAGUACGGUCGCAAGACUGAAACUCAAAGGAAUUGACGGGGACCCGCACAAGCGGUGGAGCAUGUGGUUUAAUUCGAAGCAACGCGAAGAACCUUACCAGUCUUGACAUCCUCUGCUACUUCUAGAGAUAGAAGUUCCCUUCGGGACAGAGUGACAGUGGUGCAUGGUUGUCGUCAGCUCGUGUCGUGAGAUGUUGGGUAAGUCCCGCACGAGCGCACCCUUGAUCUUAGUUGCAGCAUUUAGUUGGGC
RNAcentral lists this ribosomal RNA (1093 nucleotides) under Priestia filamentosa. RNAcentral's name for it is "bacterial SSU rRNA". It matches the Rfam family "Bacterial small subunit ribosomal RNA", at positions 55 to 1138 of the family's 1533-position model. Lineage: Bacteria; Bacillati; Bacillota; Bacilli; Caryophanales; Bacillaceae. The record is from RNAcentral.